CCAUUCAAGCCUUUCUGUCUCGUCUCUUUCCUUGCAGUGCUCCGGGAAGGAACGGAGGCUGUCUGUAAAUUGCAGUUUAAAACCAUAAUACCCCUGCAUUGAACUGUCGUCAGAUGGUUGCAGUUUUCUAAUCUGCAUUUUGUCUGAAGGAAAUGAGAAGCAGAAUUUCUCCUUCCUCCAAAGCCCUGUUAAUUUUAAUCCUUUUGCAUGGAGCUGGAUUCAUGCUGCGGCCAGGGCAUUAAACCUGAAACAAGGUGGAUCCAAAUGGAAAAAAAUGUAGAUGAUUACUGGCCAUCUGCCAAAAAGACGCUUGGGGACGUGAAAAUUCUGGAAUCAGUGAAGGUUCAUUUUGAUCAAAUAUUCAUAUUCUGAGCCAUGUGUCAACAAUUUUACUGUUUAAAGACAAGAAGGUUGUGGAGGGGAAUACUGACACCAUCCUUCACAGGGGAGUUUACUUUCAGACUUCUUACAUAAAGAAGAAUAUGUUGUUAAAGAAGAAUGGAGCAAACAUUAAGAUUUGUUCACAUGAAGGUGCAAAAGCACUGGAAACAGGGAAAGGGGGUGGGUGGGGAACAGAGAGGUCAUAGUAACGCACUCAGCUUUUAAGUUAAGAUUAACCAUAUGUAUGGACAUUUGGGAAAUGCUUCAUGUAUUUUCAUUUCCACAGAUUCAUUGUACUAAUACCAUUAGACAGAACUAUCUUUUUUAACUGAAGGAGCUGCAGUCCUGCAGGCUCACAUGUAUAGCUGGAGUCCUAGAUUUGGAGGCCUGAAUAUAAAGACUAGCCAACACCUUCUCAUUGCAUUCAUUCUGUGAUACUUAAUUUCUCUGCUACUGAAGGGCAGCUCUUUCUUGGAAAAAAUUGCCUUCUCCAUCACGUUUGGUCCACUUAUUGCAGGAUAGCUUAACAAGAUCUUUCUGCGAUCAGCAACAAGAUUUUUCCAGCAGAAUAUUUUUCUAUUCCUGAGCAUUUCACAAACCACCUCUGAUUUUCUCAAGCAGAUUUGAUAAGCUAUGUUAUUCAAAUAUACAUCAACUCAUGGGCUGUGCAGAAUGUUCUUGUGUGAUUUGUCUUCAUUACUGCUCCAGUUUGAUUGCACAUCUCGGUUACAGGAACCACGCAUGACAGACUGUUGCUUCCUAGUAAGCUGAGCCUAAAUGAGAUAAACCAGUGAAAUUCUGUAAACAGAUGAAAUGGUUUUGAGGGCUGUUCUGCCCAUGGAAGAUUGAUUUGUGCUCCACCUAUUCUAUCCUUGCUUCCUUGGCACUUGCAUUUCCUCAACAAACAUGCCAUGAAUAUAAAAAUGUGAAACAAGUAAUUAAAACUAGCCAUAAAUGGGAGAAUUCCUACUGCAGGGAAAUCCAUUUGGACUUAGCAAAUUGGUGUCCAAAUGCUUUUUACUUUGUUAGGGACAGUGAGAGGAGAAUGAAGACAAGGUUAGACAUUUGAGGCCAUCCCUGUGAGGGAGUAAUGGCAUUCUCGGGACUAACUGACUUGGAUUUGGCAGAGAGACAGCCUACCAUCCACAUCAGACCAUGGGUAGAAAUGAAGUUUUGUGCCUACUCUUGGCUGUGCAGACUGCCAGGUGCAGAACUGACAGCGGUUUGCACAUCAGAAAUGUCAAAGACAGCUUGGCUGUGGUCUGUUUUUUACCUUUAAUUUCCCUGCUGCCUAGGUUCAACCUUGCUUUCCCCCUUAUCCACGUCCAGGAAUGAUUAGGUUAGCUGUUGUUAGGUUAAGACUUAAUGAGGAGUUUCUCCAUUUCACCAUUGCCCAUGUUUUUCCCAGCCUAGACAAUGCUGUGUGUUGCAAGGUAGAGCAUGGAUUCCACAUUCGCUCCCUUUGAUGGUGUGUCAAGCAGUGACAUUUGGCACUUGGUUUCUGAUGCAACUCAUACCAAAGAAAUCUGCAUAUGACACAUACAUUAAAAAGGUAUUUUGGGUUCUUUGUGCUCUGGUUUUAUAACAUAAAAAUGGUCAAGCCAUCUCCAGUGAUUCAUCUAGACCAGCUCCAUAGGUCAAACACAAGAAUAAAAGCAAACUAAGAACCGAGUGGUAUUUCAUUUUCCAGUAGUCCCAGAGACUUAGCUUACUGGUUUUUUAAGACAAAGACUAAUUUUGCACCUUUGUGUUUCA
Molecule: long non-coding RNA, 2136 nt
Organism: Phasianus colchicus (ring-necked pheasant)
Lineage: Eukaryota; Metazoa; Chordata; Aves; Galliformes; Phasianidae
Source: RefSeq, a predicted model, not a curated record